This 474-nucleotide long non-coding RNA is filed under the name Linum usitatissimum (flax). RNAcentral's name for it is "long non-coding RNA (LUSI_LNC005532)". The record is from RNAcentral. Lineage: Eukaryota; Viridiplantae; Streptophyta; Magnoliopsida; Malpighiales; Linaceae.
AAUUUUUAUCAACAUCAGAGAAUCAGAAGUAAGAACCCCUCAAUGUUCAGUUGAAAUCGAAAAAUUGAAUCCCUAACACCCAAAUCAAAUACUCAAAUCAAUGUAAGAACUAAGAACCCUAAAUUAAUAGCCUCACCAACAUCAGAGAACUAGAGGUUGUAAUUUUUCCAAAGAUGGAUGAAAGCUUGAUGAGUGUCCUGGAUUCAUGUCCCUCUCUUAAUUUAUAGCAACUUGAAUCUCGAAUUCGUUUCCACAGCAUGCGUUCAGAACUUGAUUUGGAGAUUGUAAUCGUUGAAGUCGGUGGCUGAAGCGAGGCAGAGUCUUCAUUGGAAGUGGGAUUUUGACUUGGAAACUGAGGGGUAUUGGUUGUUGGAUAGGAUCGAGAUGACGAUUGAAAUUUUCCAUACCAGAAUUGUCGAUUACAAUGAAUGAGUGAGAGGUUUUUUAUUUUUCUGAGAGAAAUCGGCAAAAAAG